CAGAAAAGUUUCAGAUGCAUGCAAUUAAAAUUGAACAGAUUUUUCUUCUGUUUUUCCCUUUACUGAAGUUCAUGAAAGACUGCUUAGUGCAAUGAAAGCAGAACAAACACCAGUCUACCUUGGUUUCUAUGCUCUUUAUCUCCAUGACGAGGAUUUCCAGCUCCUUGGCCUGAACCAAAACAAAGCCGGCCCCUUAUCGGCUACAGACACACAGCUGAGGAUGAGGGCGUCGCAGUCGCUCCUGGUGGCGGUGCCCGACUCGCCCACGCAUUUGAGGAGCUGCUUCACGGCGCCGUACUGCCUCUGCCGGACAAGCCGGUGCCCCGCCUUGACGUAGACGGCCUGCGCCUCCAGCUGGAAGUCCUGCGAGGGCAGGAGGGGAAAGGGAAGAGAGGAAGUCGAAUAAAAAUUUAAAAUACUCACUGUGACCGGAGCUCGAAAGAGUAGCGGCUUAACUUGUACCUGUAUGACUCUGUACGCGAUGCCGAACCCUUCCUCUACGUUUUUUCCUCCAAGCAUCACCUGUGACACAAGUGAAAAAAAACCCAUGUGAUUCCAGAGUUCAUUUGUUCACAAAUCCUUUGUCUUGUAAAAACAUCAUAAAACAUUAACUUUUUCCAACUUUAAUGUAAGGUCUGGGGGAUUUUAUGAGGUAGGAAAAUAAAAGACAAGUGGUUUUUGAUUUUUGCCAUUUUGCCUCACUAAAUAAUUAUGGAAGGCAUUUGUAUUAGGUCCCCUAUUUACUGUAAUACCCCAAAAUAAAAUCCAGAGCUGACAGUUUCCUUAAUUAGUCAGCACAUUAGUAAA
This is a long non-coding RNA of Xiphophorus hellerii (green swordtail), 807 nucleotides long. RefSeq lists it as uncharacterized. The transcript has 2 exons. Lineage: Eukaryota; Metazoa; Chordata; Actinopteri; Cyprinodontiformes; Poeciliidae. The record is from RefSeq and is a predicted model, not a curated record.